GAUGAACGCUGGCGGCGUGCCUAAUACAUGCAAGUCGAGCGAACGGACGAGAAGCUUGCUUCUCUGAUGUUAGCGGCGGACGGGUGAGUAACACGUGGAUAACCUACCUAUAAGACUGGGAUAACUUCGGGAAACCGUAGCUAAUACCGGAUAAUAUUUUGAACCGCAUGGUUCAAAAGUGAAAGACGGUCUUGCUGUCACUUAUAUAUGGAUCCGCGCUGCAUUAGCUAGUUGGUAAGGUAACGGCUUACCAAGGCAACGAUGCAUAGCCGACCUGAGAGGGUGGUCGGCCACACUGGAACUGAGACACGGUCCAGACUCCUCCGGGAGGCAGCAGUCGGGAAUAUUCAGGAAAGGGCGAAAGCCUGAAGGAGCAAUGCCGCGUGAGGAAAGAAGGUCUUGGGAUCGUAAAACUCUGUGAGAGGAGAAGAACAAAAGGGGACGUAAAAGGCGACAUCAUGACGGUACCUGAACAAGAAGCAAGGGCUAACUGCGUG
RNAcentral lists this ribosomal RNA (497 nucleotides) under uncultured bacterium. RNAcentral's name for it is "partial 16S ribosomal RNA". It matches the Rfam family "Bacterial small subunit ribosomal RNA", at positions 28 to 507 of the family's 1533-position model. The record is from RNAcentral.